GACGAACGCUGGCGGCGUGCUUAACACAUGCAAGUCGAACGGAAAGGCCCUGCUUUUGUGGGGUGCUCGAGUGGCGAACGGGUGAGUAACACGUGAGUAACCUGCCCUUGACUUUGGGAUAACUUCAGGAAACUGGGGCUAAUACCGGAUAGGAGCUCCUGCUUCAUGGUGGGGGUUGGAAAGUUUCGGCGGUUGGGGAUGGACUCGCGGCUUAUCAGCUUGUUGGUGGGGUAGUGGCUUACCAAGGCUUUGACGGGUAGCCGGCCUGAGAGGGUGACCGGCCACAUUGGGACUGAGAUACGGCACAGACUCAUACGGGAGGAAGCAGUGGGGAAUAUUGCACAAUGGGCGGAAGCCUGAUGCAGCAACGCCGCGUGCGGGAUGACGGCCUUAGGGUUGUAAACCGAUUUCGCCUGUGACGAAGCGUGAGUGACGGUAAUGGGUAAAGAAGCACCGGCUAACUACGUG
This 468-nucleotide ribosomal RNA is filed under the name uncultured bacterium. RNAcentral's name for it is "partial 16S ribosomal RNA". It matches the Rfam family "Bacterial small subunit ribosomal RNA", at positions 28 to 507 of the family's 1533-position model. The record is from RNAcentral.